This 253-nucleotide unclassified non-coding RNA is filed under the name Hyphomicrobiales bacterium. RNAcentral's name for it is "partial 16S ribosomal RNA". It matches the Rfam family "Bacterial small subunit ribosomal RNA", at positions 524 to 776 of the family's 1533-position model. Lineage: Bacteria; Pseudomonadati; Pseudomonadota; Alphaproteobacteria; Hyphomicrobiales. RNAcentral also lists the same sequence under 1 other name. The record is from RNAcentral.
UACGGAGGGGGCUAGCGUUGUUCGGAAUUACUGGGCGUAAAGCGCGCGUAGGCGGAUUGUUAAGUCAGAGGUGAAAUCCCAAGGCUCAACCUUGGAAUAGCCUUUGAUACUGGCAAUCUGGAGUCCGGAAGAGGUGAGUGGAAUUCCGAGUGUAGAGGUGAAAUUCGUAGAUAUUCGGAGGAACACCAGAGGCGAAGGCGGCUCACUGGUCCGGAACUGACGCUGAGGCGCGAAAGCGUGGGGAGCAAACAGG